GUUUGGUCCGUAGUCCCUGUGAAU
This 24-nucleotide non-coding RNA is filed under the name Rattus norvegicus (Norway rat). Lineage: Eukaryota; Metazoa; Chordata; Mammalia; Rodentia; Muridae. The record is from RNAcentral.